This 253-nucleotide ribosomal RNA is filed under the name uncultured bacterium. RNAcentral describes it as "partial 16S ribosomal RNA". It matches the Rfam family "Bacterial small subunit ribosomal RNA", at positions 524 to 776 of the family's 1533-position model. The record is from RNAcentral.
UACGGAGGAUGCGAGCGUUAUCCGGAAUCAUUGGGUUUAAAGGGUGCGUAGGCUGGUAUUUAAGUCAGUAGUGAAAUUUUCGUGCUUAACAUGAGAGCUGCCAUUGAUACUGGGUACCUAGAGUGUAUUUGAUGUGGGCGGAAUGUGUUGUGUAGCGGUGAAAUGCUUAGAUAUGACACAGAGCACCGAUAGCGAAGGCAGCUCACAAAGUUACAACUGACGCUGAUGCACGAAAGCGUGGGGAUCAAACAGG